CUUUGAAAAUGUGAAUGACGCCGUCUCAGAGCUGAAAAACCAACUGGUCAAACUCUGCGAUGAACACGUGGACAGAAUAUCAGUAAAAGUUGCUGAUGUCCAAAUUUCCAAAAUUGCUUCAUGCGAAGACAUGGUUUCUUUAGUUACAGCUUCUCCUCAUCAGACAGUGAAUGUGAGUAAGACAUAUAUAUAUAUAGACAUAUAUAUAUAUAUAUAUAUUUCAUUUCGGGAAGAACAUUUUAAAUAACCGAUAAAUUUAAAAGCAAGUCCUGCAGUACAGUUAAACCUUGUUUAACAAAAAAAAAAACAAAACUUAAUAUUGAACAAGGAACUCAAUAAUUUAAUAUUAAUAUAAUAUAUACUUUUGUUAUAUAGGUAACUCAUUAACCUCAUUAAGUUUCACUUCCGAAUGAAGCCUGCCGGGGGGGAGAGUGGCCUGGGAGUAAUAAAAUAAAAAUCUGACCUGCAUCAAAUACAGAAGUCCGUAAUGUAAUGUAUAUUUUGAUGAUUCAUAUUAAUGUCUAGGUGGGUCUAAAACAAAAAUAUUGUCAUGACUGCAAACAUUUGAUGAAGUUGAAAGCUUGCUGUUUGCCAAUUACAAAACAUUUGUAAAUAUGUUAUUUCUUAAUAAUAAAGAAAUCUUAAAUCGUGAAAAAGUGAUUUGCUCAUGUUCGUAAGUGUCUGCAGAGUCUUGGUUACUACAAAACAUAGAUGAAAAGAAAUGUGUGGCGCAUUAAGAGAAAUGAUCGGUUAUUUCGGUAUGUUUCUACAUGGUGAGUGAAAAAGCUAUUAAAAUAGCAACAAAACUGUGAUUUGUGUUUUGUUGUAAUCAAAAUCUUGUUGAUUUAUUAGCUUAGGUGGAGC
Molecule: long non-coding RNA, 864 nt
Organism: Puntigrus tetrazona (Sumatra barb)
Lineage: Eukaryota; Metazoa; Chordata; Actinopteri; Cypriniformes; Cyprinidae
Exons: 3
Source: RefSeq, a predicted model, not a curated record